Molecule: ribosomal RNA, 889 nt
Filed under: Meiothermus sp.
Lineage: Bacteria; Thermotogati; Deinococcota; Deinococci; Thermales; Thermaceae
Description: bacterial SSU rRNA
Rfam family: Bacterial small subunit ribosomal RNA
Source: RNAcentral
GCCUAGGACAUGCAAGUCGAACGGGCUGUUUAUGCAGCCAGUGGCGGACGGGUGAGUAACACGUAGGUGACCUACCCCAAAGUCUGGGACAACUAGGAGAAAUCUUAGCUAAUCCUGGAUGUGGACAUCUACUUUGGUGGAUGUUUAAAGCUUCGGCGCUUUGGGAUGGGCCUGCGGCGCAUCAGGUAGUUGGUGGGGUAAUGGCCUACCAAGCCGACGACGCGUAGCUGGUCUGAGAGGACGAUCAGCCACAGGGGUACUGAGACACGGACCCCACUCCUACGGGAGGCAGCAGUUAGGAAUCUUCCGCAAUGGGCGAAAGCCUGACGGAGCGAUACCGCUUGAAGGACGAAGCCCUUCGGGGUGUAAACUUCUGAACUCGGGACGAUAAUGACGGUACCGAGGUAAUAGCACCGGCUAACUCCGUGCCAGCAGCCGCGGUAAUACGGAGGGUGCGAGCGUUACCCGGAUUUACUGGGUGUAAAGGGCGUGUAGGCGGUCUCUCAAGUCCGAUGCUAAAGACCGAAGCUCAACUUCGGGGGUGCGUUGGAUACUGUGAGGCUAGACGGUCGGAGAGGGUAGCGGAAUUUCCGGAGUAGCGGUGAAAUGCGCAGAUACCGGAAGGAACGCCAAUAGCGAAAGCAGCUACCUGGACGAUUUGUGACGCUGAGGCGCGAAAGCGUGGGGAGCAAACCGGAUUAGAUACCCGGGUAGUCCACGCCCUAAACGAUGAGUGCUGGGUGUCCGACAUCUGUUGGGUGCCGUAGCUAACGCGUUAAGCACUCCACCUGGGAAGUACGGUCGCAAGACUGAAACUCAAAGGAAUUGACGGGGGCCCGCACAAGCGGUGGAGCAUGUGGUUUAAUUCGAAGCAACGCGCAGAACCUUA